This 881-nucleotide long non-coding RNA is filed under the name Heterocephalus glaber (naked mole-rat). RNAcentral describes it as "lncRNA (ENSHGLG00000040112.1)". Lineage: Eukaryota; Metazoa; Chordata; Mammalia; Rodentia; Bathyergidae. The record is from RNAcentral.
GUGAAUGGACAUCCCGGGUUAUUUCCAGUUUGGGAUCGUUAUAAACAAUGCUUGUUUAUGUGUCUGACUGCCUAUACAUGAGUUAAUAUUUAUCAAGAAGUGGAAUUUCUGGGUCAUAAGAAACAGGUCCCCCUAGGGCCACCUCUUGGGUCCUUCCCUGCUACUCACAGCUGGAUCUGCCCAGGCCCCCUCAUCAGAAGAACCCAGGAAGCCACCUCCCAGUGCUCACCUUGUAUCUCAGCUGCUUGAGUCAUGUGGCCUCAGGAGCCUGGGAAUUGAACUCAGGAUCUUGUGCUUGCCAGGGAGGCAGAGCACCACUGCACCACUGAACUACAUCCUUGACCCCAGGCCUAAUAAAAUUUUAAAACAGGAUCUGAAAUAAUCACACUCUUUUCAAGUAACUUAACUGCAUCCUUCAAUAAGACUAUUUAUAUGAAUACAUAUAUUCUUCAUUUAACGACUUACCUGUUUAAUAACUGUUGGACUUACAACCAAGGCAUGCUGUUUGGACUUAUGACCAUUUUAUUGUACAGUUCUGUACAUCUUAUUUACAGAGUCUCCAUGUCUUUUUUUGUAAAGUAUACCUUGUUUAUACAGUACUGCAAUUUUUGCUGAUUGUACCAUACAUUACAGUGCUAUAGUUUUAUGUUCAGUUAUACAUUACAGUAUUGCAUGGAAGAGUGAUGCAAAUAAAAGCAAAGUCAUCAAGUUGGAGUUUCUUUCAACCAUUUCUUUGUUCUGAAUAUUGUAACAUACACACCAUAUACAAUUCCUCAUUUAGCAUCUGAUUCAGGUAAUGACCUAGUUGCAGGACCAUGACUCAGUCAUCAAACAAGGAAUGUCUGUAGCCUGUUGUGUUUUAGGGACAUUCACUAGGCAUG